AUGUAUUCGAAAGUUAAACUAAAUGAACCGUUGACUUCUAAAAGUCAACCGUGUAUAAGAAGGAUGGUUAGGCGGGUUGUCCUAAUUGUAAGAUUAAGGUAAGUUAUAUGGAGCGCGUUUGACGAAUGUGUGUUUAAUGCGAUGACAUGAUGGUUUACAUGAGUUUGAAAUGAUAUGAAUUUGGUCACAUGUAUUAUGCUUGCUAGAAGUAACUAAUGAAAGUCAAAUAGGAAUUAUGCGAUCGAUAUGAUCGUUAACAUGUACAAUUAUGUAUGCUAAUAAGAAUGUGAUUUCGAUGACAUGGAAGUAUAGGAAUCAUGUCGAGACGGAAUCAAGCACGGAAGGCUAACGGGUCAAAAGUGGCGAGGAAACGAGUAUGAACAUGGACGCACGAGGUAAGUGAUUUCUUUGUAAUCACUUCUUAGUUGUUUAUGGAAAGUUAUGUGCGAUUUAAUUAAGUAUGAUGAUCGAGGUCAAGUAGGAAAGAAUUGUAUGAGACCGAUGAAGUAUUAAACGGAUCUCCGAGCGAGGUAUAUGUGAUUAAGAACUGUAGCUAAGUAGUAGGAUUGGUUACUUAUGCAAGGGAGUCCUUUGUUGUUA
This 600-nucleotide long non-coding RNA is filed under the name Helianthus annuus (common sunflower). Lineage: Eukaryota; Viridiplantae; Streptophyta; Magnoliopsida; Asterales; Asteraceae. The record is from RNAcentral.